CUCCCCAGUCUCUGUGUUUUGCUGAUGUGAAGAAAGGGGUGCAGGAAGAGGGAGGUCUACCACAGGGCUGUAGACAGCUGGGACCGGUCAUUGACGGGUAGAGAGGGACCCUUAUUUUAGAGGACACUGCAUUUCCUGUCUGUCACAAUAAUGCAUUAUGAGCUCCACUUCCUGUUUCUCAGGCCUGAGAGGAAGGAACAGGGCGCUUGUCACACGAUAUUCAUGGCUUCCUACCAGAAGGACAGUCGACUACACCUUGAACAUCGCAGCAGGAUGUGCAUGGUUAUUUUUAGUGUCGGAAAGGUAGGACACAGACAAACACAAUCUUCAGAAAUUCUAGCUGUGUUCGUUCAUUGGUUACUAGAAACCUGUUUCCAUGUUGUGGCUCUUCCCCGGAGGAACGUGGAGGUCUACUGUUUGCUCAUGGUGUCUACAUGUGCGUCAGACGCAAUUCCUUCCACAGUUAAAUAAACAACAAUACAAUUAAUAAACUCCUUCAUUCAGUUACUGGAUGCUUUAUCUGUACUAUAAACUUAAUACCCAACCUUCAAAACCGCUCAUCUUAAUUACAUGGGAAUUGAUUAUAUAUUCAACAGGAACAAUCUCACCAUUCUAUCUAUACUUGGGGGACUAUUAUUGGUAUACAAUAUUUCCAUAAGAACACAUCCACUACAGACUAGAGGUUGACGAUUAAAUCGGAAUGGCUGAUUAAUUAGGGCCGAUUUCAAGUUUUCAUAAUCGGAAAUCUGUAUUUUUGGAUGCCGAUUUGCCGUUUUUUUCCCCAUUUUCUUUCCUCCACACCUUUUUAUUUAACUAGGCAGGUCAGUUAAUAACACAUUCUUAUUUUCCAUGAUGGCCUAGGAACGGUGGGUUAACUGUCUUGUUCAGGGGCAGAACGACAGAUUUUUACCUUGUCAGCUCAGGGAUUCAAUCUUGCAAGUUUACGGUUAACUAGUCCAAUGCUCGAACCACCUGCCUCACGAGGAGCCUGCCUGUUACGCGAAUGCAGUAAGAAGCCUAGAGUUACACGAUUAGCUCCCAUUGUGCAGCACUGGUCAUAUUCAACAGAGGAAUGAAUAGUUAAUGUGAGAACAGCCAAGCUUCACAGAUGGCCACUCAGGGAGGCAGCAGGCUGGAGACUAAGCUGUCUGGGGCCUUUGGCGGACUCUCUCUCUCCACCAGAAGCCCGUGCCAUAUUGUGACCUUCAGCCAGAGCAGACUGAAUCAUCGACAGUGGGAACAGAUUGAGUGAGCAGAUGAGCCGUAUGUAGCCGGGCAGAGGGCAGGCCUGCGGAAUAGUACUCAAAUACCCCUGUGCCAAUCUGUACAACUGGCAUCAAAUGGACUGUUUCGCACCCAGGCCUUUAACCCCCUAAGGUUGAUGUCUGCGCCCCCAUGAAAAUCUAAUUAGUAUAAUACAAAAAAAUCACAAUAAAAAUCUGUCAGUUUAAGCUAGAGAUAUGUUUUGUUGCGUUGGACGUGUCUCAAUCCACCAUAUCCGCCUAUGUCGCACUUCCGCAUCUCCAGUGAAAGAUAACAGAUCUAGUGGUGUUUGUCAGUCCAUGAGACAUCACUACAAAUCUGUCUUCUCACAAAACCGUCUAUAGCAUCUGAACGCUUUGACCUACAAACAUGGUGUUCUCCGUUUUGCUCCACAAGUGUCAGGAGCCUCGUCUGAAGUCGGUAUAGCUGAUCUGCCAACUUCUGUCUGUAGCGUCCGAACCGUUUGGGCUACACACUAAAAUGACCCCUCUCUGCAAAGGUGAGACUCUCACAAACAUUUGCUCUAGGACGCCCACAGGCCUCACAAGACUCAACUGAAACACCUGUCCCCCGGGACCAGUUGAAAAUAUGAAUGGAAGUACAGUACCAGUCAAAAGUUUGGACCUACCUACUCAUUCUAGGGUUUUUCUUUAUUUUUACUAUUUUUUUUUUUUUGCCCACCCCUGGCAUAUAUGAAGACUGUUUAAUGCCAAAAAAUAUGGGUUUCUUUCAUAUAUAGGAGAGACACUUCAGAAUAUACUUCUAUUUUAUUUGUUUUUGGGACUGUUGUUCAAUGUAGUGAAUCUGUUAUUCAAUGUGUUUGUAUGGGCUAAUAGCAGUAAGACCCCAAAAAAUGUUUCAUCAAUGUGUUUUUUUGAUACUCCAAGGGGUCUUAAAAUUCUAAAUGAAAUCGCUAAAUGAUCCUUGGUAUGACAAUGGCCAUGUUCUGUUAUAAUCUCCACCCGGCAUAGCCAGAAGAGGACUGGCCACCCCUCAUAGGCUGGUUCCUCUCUAGGUUUUGGCCUUUCUAGGGAGUUUUUCCUAGCCACCGUGCUUCUACACCUGAAUUGUUUUAGGCUUGGUUUCUGUACAUCACUUUGACAUCAGCUGAUGUAAGACAGGCUUUAUAAAUACAUUUGAUUGAUUGGUUAUGACCUUCUUAAAAUUCCAUAUAGCUUAGUAACCCCCCAACCCAAUUGAACAAUUAUGGGAGAUUCUGGAGCAGUGCUUGAGACAGCGUUCUCUACCACCAUCAACAAAACAACAAAUGAUGGAAUUUCUCGUGGAAGAAUGGUGUUGCUUGCAUCCCUCCAAUAGAGUUCCAGACACUUGUAGAUUCUAUACCAAGACGCAUGGAAGCUGUUCUGAUGGCUUGUGGUGAC
Oncorhynchus tshawytscha (Chinook salmon) is the source of this 2645-nucleotide long non-coding RNA. The record is from Ensembl. Lineage: Eukaryota; Metazoa; Chordata; Actinopteri; Salmoniformes; Salmonidae.